AACGCACAUUGCGCCCGCCAGUAUUCUGGCGGGCAUGCCUGUUCGAGCGUCAUUUCAACCCUCAAGCCCCAGCGGCUUGGUGUUGGGGACCGGCCCCGGCCGCCCCCCAAAUGCAGUGGCGACCUCGCCGCAGCCUCCCCUGCGUAGUAGCACAACCUCGCACCGGAGCGCGGAGACGGUCACGCCGUAAAACGCCCAACUUCUCAGAGUUGACCUCGGAUCAGGUAGGAAUACCCGCUGAACUUAA
Molecule: unclassified non-coding RNA, 247 nt
Filed under: uncultured fungus
Lineage: Eukaryota; Fungi
Description: sequence contains ITS2
Rfam family: 5.8S ribosomal RNA (bases 1-52)
Source: RNAcentral